ACGGGAGGCAGCAGUGAGGAAUAUUGGUCAAUGGGCGGGAGCCUGAACCAGCCAAGUCGCGUGGGGGAUGACGGUCCUACGGAUUGUAAACCCCUUUUGCCGGGGAGUAACGUGCGGGACGUGUCCCGCAGUGAGAGUACCCGGAGAAAAAGCAUCGGCUAACUCCGUGCCAGCAGCCGCGGUAAUACGGAGGAUGCGAGCGUUAUCCGGAUUUAUUGGGUUUAAAGGGUGCGCAGGCGGCGCGUCAAGUCCGCGGUCAAAUCCCGGUGCUCAACGCCGGUCCGCCUUUGAAACUGCCGUGCUCGAGUUCGUGCGAGGAGCGCGGAAUGCGUGGUGUAGCGGUGAAAUGCAUAGCUAUCACGCAGAACGCCGAUUGCGAAGGCAGCCCUCCAGCACUGGACUGACGCUCAUGCACGAACGCGUGGUUAUCGAACAGGAUUAGUUACCCUGGUA
This 453-nucleotide ribosomal RNA is filed under the name uncultured Porphyromonadaceae bacterium. RNAcentral's name for it is "partial 16S ribosomal RNA". It matches the Rfam family "Bacterial small subunit ribosomal RNA", at positions 341 to 792 of the family's 1533-position model. The record is from RNAcentral. Lineage: Bacteria; Pseudomonadati; Bacteroidota; Bacteroidia; Bacteroidales; Porphyromonadaceae.